Molecule: ribosomal RNA, 478 nt
Filed under: uncultured bacterium
Lineage: Bacteria
Description: partial 16S ribosomal RNA
Rfam family: Bacterial small subunit ribosomal RNA
Source: RNAcentral
GAUGAACGCUGGCGGCGUGCUUAACACAUGCAAGUCGAACGAGAAGUGGAGACGGAAACCUUCGGGCGGAAGACUUUAUUUCGAGUGGCGGACGGGUGAGUAACGCGUGGGUAACCUGCCUCAUACAGGGGGAUAACAGUUGGAAACGACUGUUAAUACCGCAUAAGACCACAGCACCGCAUGGUGCGGGGGUAAAAACUCCGGUGGUAUGAGAUGGACCCGCGUUCGAUUAGCCAGUUGGCGGGGUAACGGCCCACCAAAGCGACGAUCGAUAGCCGAUCUGAGAGGAUGACCGGUCACAUUGGGACUGAGACACGGCCCAAACUCCUACGGGAGGCAGCAGUGGGGAAUAUUGCACAAUGGGGGAAACCCUGAUGCAGCGACGCCGCGUGAGUGAAGAAGUAUUUCGGUAUGUAAAGCUCUAUCAGCAGGGAAGAAAAUGACGGUACCUGAGUAAGAAGCCCCGGCUAACUACGUG